AAGUCGUAACAAGGUUUCCGUAGGUGAACCUGCGGAAGGAUCAUUACCAAAUCCAAAUAUCCAAACCCCAUGUGAACUAUUGUAUAGUCUGUCUUUGGGAGAAAAAGCGAAUUAUAUUUAAAAAAUUAAACUUUGGUUUUCUUUUUUAUAUAUAUAUGAAAUUUUUUCUCCCAAUAGAGUCCGGCGCAAAUUUAUUUUUGUGUCCUGAUUCGAAAACCCCUUUUAAACCACUUGAUUUUUCUGUUGGAAUUAACUUUUAUUAAUUAUAAAUAAAAGACAACUUUUAACGGUGGAUCUCUUGGCUCGUG
RNAcentral lists this unclassified non-coding RNA (308 nucleotides) under fungal sp. RNAcentral describes it as "partial internal transcribed spacer region". The stretch from base 1 to 46 matches the Rfam family "Eukaryotic small subunit ribosomal RNA", at positions 1786 to 1831 of the family's 1831-position model. Lineage: Eukaryota; Fungi. The record is from RNAcentral.